CAAAUACAUUGAAAAAAUCUUGGAAAAUUCCUGUAUUUUCCUUUUUUGAGCUUGCAGUUACAACAGACAUAAUUCUUAUGCCUCCUUUAUACCCUACAAGUUCUUCCAAUUCUCCUUUGACUUCUUCAGGCCACUGAAGACACUGCCAAAGCAAUAUCAACCACUUCCUCCAGAGCCAAAGAUAAGCAGCCAGGUCUCCCACACCAGGAAAACGCUCAGCCAAGCACAUACCUUUCCAAUAUCAGCAAAGCUCACAAGGCAUAUAUCUCUUAGGGAACUCAAUGAAGCAUCUGGAAGAGAAAAAGUUACAGAUUUGAUGAAGAAACUUGAAUUGACUUUACAAUCACAACAGAACAAAAUAAAGCAUCUUCCUGAAUCCAGCUUCCAAUAUAUACAGAGCUCCAAGGAUGUUUGCAGCUCAGGUUCCCUGUACCAACCUCUGCUUCAGAAACUCCUGCCAUUCCUACCACUGUUUCUGGUCCUUCAUGUGCAGGCCCUCUGAGACAGCACAACCUCACUUUAUGUCCUUGAAUUCUUUGACCUUGUGAAACAACAGGGACAGAACAGAACAAAGAAGUGGCCUUCACCCCUGCUAUCCUAAGUGUUCCUUUAAAGUCCGUGUUUGGAUUAAAAAAAUAUUUUACAAAGAAAGUAUUAACUUUACUGGAUUUGUAUGAAUAACCUUGUAUUUUUUACCAUAUGUAAAUAUAUAUUUCUCUCACUCUGAGAAAUUUCUC
RNAcentral lists this long non-coding RNA (737 nucleotides) under Anas platyrhynchos (mallard). RNAcentral's name for it is "lncRNA (ENSAPLG00020006179.1)". The record is from RNAcentral. Lineage: Eukaryota; Metazoa; Chordata; Aves; Anseriformes; Anatidae.